CCUACGGGUGGCAGCAGUGGGGAAUAUUGGACAAUGGGGGCAACCCUGAUCCAGCCAUGCCGCGUGUGUGAAGAAGGCCCUCGGGUUGUAAAGCACUUUCAGUGAGGAAGAACGCCUGGUGGUUAAUACCCAUCAGGAAAGACAUCACUCACAGAAGAAGCACCGGCUAACUCCGUGCCAGCAGCCGCGGUAAUACGGAGGGUGCGAGCGUUAAUCGGAAUUACUGGGCGUAAAGCGCGCGUAGGUGGCUUGAUAAGCCGGUCGUGAAAGCCCCGGGCUCAACCUGGGAACGGCAUCCGGAACUGUCAAGCUAGAGUGCAGGAGAGGAAGGUAGAAUUCCCGGUGUAGCGGUGAAAUGCGUAGAGAUCGGGAGGAAUACCAGUGGCGAAGGCGGCCUUCUGGACUGACACUGACACUGAGGUGCGAAAGCGUGGGUAGCAAACAGGAUUAGAUACCCCAGUAGUC
Molecule: ribosomal RNA, 465 nt
Filed under: Vreelandella stevensii
Lineage: Bacteria; Pseudomonadati; Pseudomonadota; Gammaproteobacteria; Oceanospirillales; Halomonadaceae
Description: partial 16S ribosomal RNA
Rfam family: Bacterial small subunit ribosomal RNA
Source: RNAcentral